Molecule: long non-coding RNA, 3831 nt
Organism: Meleagris gallopavo (turkey)
Lineage: Eukaryota; Metazoa; Chordata; Aves; Galliformes; Phasianidae
Source: Ensembl
UUGAGACACUGUGAUACAUUAGGAUAUAACUCGUGAAAUUCAGGACUUCUCAAGUGCAGAGGGUUGGUAUAUAACACAGCAAGAUUUUAACUACACCCGAGCCAAAUUUAUAGGAAAUUAAAAAGCUGUGAAACCUGGGAAACAGAUUUCAGUAAAAUAUUAACUUUUUCUUUUACUAACAGACUUUCGCAGAUAUUCUAGUGUGAAUUACUAAUGUGCUUGAAAUAUAUUUAAAAUAAAUACUUGACUGCAAUUUGUGCUUAGAAGUAACUAUUUGUUGUGCUGUACGUAAGUUGUAAGAAGCAGCUUUUUUAUUGUUAUUUCACCAGCCAAAGAAAUGAGGGGUGGAGGGGAAGAACAGUCUAGAAUCUAUCUAGAACUAGAGACACAAACCACAUUUCCCAUCCUAUCAAACACUCCCAGUAAAUUCCUGCAUACAUUGCUUAAUUUCCUUCACACUUCAGCUUGGCUCAGCAGCAUUCAUAUACCUCAUGAGCCAGCAAUGAAGAAAACUGCAGGAAAGGCUGUAGAGGACUUAUCUUUAUCAAUAUGGAUGUGAUAGAUAGGCUCCGUUUAGAAUCUUACUAAUUAGCUAUGAAGGGGGCAUUUUAUAUGUAUAUUUACAUAUAAAUUUAUAUUUAUAACACCUGAAGGAAGUUCACACAGCAGAAGGGCCAUUUUGCCUUUAUUUCUAACAGCUGAGGACCUUCAGCUGUGCCAAUUUCUCUGUUGCAGAGGCAAAGAAAGAUUGCUGGCUGGAGUUAGUUUGUUCCAGUCUACAGCUGGGAGAGGUGUUCCCAUUCAAUCCCUUCUUUUAUGCCAUUCCUUGGAUUUGCAGGCUGCCAGUCCAGCAGGUGGGUAAAUCUCUUACUAAGCUUGAAGAGUGAUGGAGACAAAAAGCCACAAGCAGUCCUGGAAAAUGGGAACUCUGCCCCUUUGUCUGCUGCGAAGCUGCAUCAGUCUGCAGGGUGCAAAAAUGCAUUGUUCAGUAAACCCAGGGAAAACCAUAAGAAGACAGAACAUCUGAGGGAUGAAGUGAGCAGUUGUGAUUCCAAAGCCACAAAAAACGAAAGAACUGGAUGAUCAGAGAGAGAAAACUGUGAGUACAGCCCAGCAUCCUGUGCCAAAAGAAAGCACUUCAAGCACAUUGAAGUGCACUGCAAGCUCCUGGGGGGGAUUAGAACAAGUGGUACUGGAACAAGAGAGACAAACAAUGCACAUAUCAAAGUAAGUAGUUACACUGUGUACUGGAAGUAUUAAAAUACAGCACAAAGAAUAAGAAAUGGAAGACAGUUUAAACCACUGUUGUCAGCAUCAAAAAUGCCUACUUUUGUGAAGUGCAUUUCAGGAAAGUGGGAGAGAAAAGAAUAUAGAAAGCAGUGUAUGCAGGGAAAGAUGAAGGAGGGUGAAGUUUGGGUUAAAAGGUUCCAAAGUUUUUAAACCAAGUGUUUAUUAAAUAAUGGAACACUGUGUGAUUCACAUACAAAUAGGAGCUGAGCUUUUACUACACUUAGAUAAGGCAUGCUUAAAUAAAUAAAUAAAUAAAUAGUGUCGCUGGCCAUCUAGAAAUGCUACUUGGGGCUAUGAAUUUGAACAAGUAGUAGGAAAAACAAGAAAUCUAAAGCAUGAGCAAGUGUGACACAAGGACUGUGUCAAAAGGGUAGCAGGAUAAAGCAACUGUUAGUUCCCCUUUGGAUUUGGAACAGUAGUUUGAAGUAGUAAAAUGAAGUAGAUAGCUAGAUAGUCUUAUUAAAAUAGCAACAAUAAAUGUCCCUUUCCCAAGCAAGGCCAAGUAAUGAUACUGAUUUGGACUCAACAGCAGGAGCUGGAAAAGAAUCUUUUUCCUUGUUUGGCUAGCUUUCCCCAUUUAAGUACUUUAAACAUUGCUGGGCUUUUUUUUUUUUUUUUUCCCAUGCCUAGGGAAGCCAAUGUGGAGAGAAGGGUCCUGCUCUAUGCAUUACAGAGUGCACAGUAACUUACGGUUCAAGAUGUGCCAGUACCAUAAGAUUUUGGAGAAAAUCCUAUAUAAAACUUUUCCUACACUCAGGAGACUUAUUACUAGCUUCCUUAUCAAAUCCCAUCUCAGUAAUGGGCCACACAGGGAAUGUAAUCUCUAUGACUGUUGGGCAGUGGAACCUAGACAAGAUACUUUACAAAAUGAAGUUUUCAGACAAUUGUGCAGAUAUUGUGUUUGAGCACCAGUAAGUUAAAUAACUGAUACACAACGUCAGUUUUUAUAGCAUUUCAGCCUGUAUAAGAAAAAAAGUCACUCUAGGAGAAAACAACUUCUGCAAAAAGAAACUUGUUAAUCUUUCGAAAAGCAGUAAAUGGCAGAAUGGCAGACAUUUCUGACGUGUUGGUGGUGGGGAGGGAGGAAAAGAGUCUAGGGACAGGAAGGCUAUCUAGCUACUAUGCUAAGCCUUUUAGAAUGUGACUAUUUUAUUAUGAGUUGAGGCAUACAGGCUGCUGUCAACUGCUUGUCUUCAAACUUUCAGUGAGCACCUAUUCUUCAAUUAUUAUUUUUUUACUCCCAGCUUUGUUGACGUCAUUUGUCUUUCCUUUGUUGCUGUUCUUCACUCACUUAGGUACUUUCCCUUACUUGCAGCAUUAGACAUUCAGUGCUGUGCCACUUCUUUCUCAAUGUACGAGCUGUUAAGAAAAGAAUGAAGUGUAUGCUGACUAAGCCCUUUUUUCUUUUUUGAAAGGAAGUGAGGCAGAGCUGUGAAAUCUGAAAAAGAGCAAAGGAGUGAGAUCCUCUGUCCAGUUGUUAGCUGCCUAGAGAGUGAGUACGAAAUGAAAUGAACUAGCUAAUUCUCAGACGUGAAUACAUUUGCCAAAUCACUGGCUCUGGGAAUAUUGCUUAGGGCUUGUCCAUACAGCAUCACUGUGCAGUUUGUGAUUGAUCUCAGUGAUGAUACUCAGUGGUGUGACUGUUUACCCUAACCAAUACAUACAGAGAUGAUGUGGCAGACACUUACUUCUAAGUUUAGCAAAACAAUUGGGAACAAGUGCAGGUUUUACAAAGAACUACUCAAGUAGUUCUUCCCUGAGAAAAUUUAUUCCUGUCUUUUUACUACAGUAGGAUGGUAAAUAAGCUAAUGCAAUUUCUGAGCCUUUUGCCACCUCAUCUGUAAACAAUAAUUCUCUUUCAAAUCACCCGUAACUGUUUUAAAUGAAAACAAAUACCAAAAAUUGGAGAUGGCCUGUAGUGAUUUUUGUUUGGUUUGGUUUGGUUUUGGGUUUUUUUUUGUUGUUUGUUUGUUGCAUGUUUUUUUUAAAAAAGGUCAUCUUUUGUGUUUCAGCAGUAUGUAAUUAAUAUAUAGAACACCACCAAAAAAGGCAACCAGGAAAGUCCAAAGUUAACUACACUGCUAGGAUUCCUACUGACCCAAAUUCUUAUAAGAUUCAUCACACACAGGACAAAUAUAAGUAGCCAUAUCUGGUAAGAACAUUGUAUUUAUAGUAUAGAUAAGUUUAUCCUAGAUCUGGAGUUCUGUUUCCACUUAGCGUGCUCUACAAACCUAGGAAAAAAAAAUAAACAGGUCCGAGUUAGCAUGAAAAGAAAGAAGUUACUUAGCAGGAAUGAAGACUGCCCAUAAUCACAUCAGAACUGAGCCACUUAAAUGAAACAUUUUAACUUCCAAUUAGUGCAUUCGGUGAGGAGAACAGCCUGGCUUUCUCUAUCAAGAUAAGAACCUCUUACAUUACCUAAGCGUGCUUCAUGACAGGUGUAGAGCAAGGACAUAGGAAAAUAAUUAGACUGUGGGAAAAGAAUGACCUCCCUCAAGGAGAAUGCAAAUAAAGUACAAAUGUCUAUAAUCACUCAGAAAC